GACGAACGCUGGCGGCGUGCUUAACACAUGCAAGUCGAGCGGUAAGGCUCCUUCGGGAGUACACGAGCGGCGAACGGGUGAGUAACACGUGAGUAAUCUGCCCUUCACUUCGGGAUAACCACCGGAAACGGUGGCUAAUACCGAAUACGACCAGUCUUCGCAUGAGGUGCUGGUGGAAAGUCUUUUCGGUGAAGGAUGUGCUCGCGGCCUAUCAGCUUGUUGGUGGGGUAAUGGCCUACCAAGGCUUCGACGGGUAGCCGGCCUGAGAGGGUGACCGGCCACACUGGGACUGAGACACGGCCCAGACUCCUACGGGAGGCAGCAGUGGGGAAUAUUGGACAAUGGGCGAAAGCAUGAUCCAGCAACGCCGCGUGAGGGAUGACGGCCUUCGGGUUGUAAACCUCUUUCAGUACCGACGAAGCGCCCUGUCGGGUGGUGACGGUAGGUAAAGAAGAAGGACCGGCCAACUACGUG
This 474-nucleotide ribosomal RNA is filed under the name uncultured bacterium. Its description in RNAcentral is "partial 16S ribosomal RNA". It matches the Rfam family "Bacterial small subunit ribosomal RNA", at positions 28 to 507 of the family's 1533-position model. The record is from RNAcentral.